CAGGCAUACGAUCCUUGUGCUAGCUGUUAGAUAUGCAGCUAUUAAUGGCUAAAGCUAGCAGGAGACUUGUAAGACCCAGGCAGAGGGCUUGAUACUCGACAAGUCAAGCACAAAGAUGUCAAACUUAGCAACUGGCUUUCCACCACAAAACUACAGCAUUUCCUAACAGAUAUCUCUGUAAGUGGAGGCAGGGUUUGUCCCUCAAGAGAUACUUCUGAGUUAGAAAAGAAGUUGGGGAUGUUACUGUUCUAAUCAAUAAUGCUGGCAUACUGCUUGCGAAAAAGUUUUGUGACAUACCAGAUGCAGAUUUUGAAAAGACCUUAAGAGUCAACUUCCUCUCUCAA
This is a long non-coding RNA of Aptenodytes forsteri (emperor penguin), 344 nucleotides long. RefSeq lists it as uncharacterized. The record is from RefSeq and is a predicted model, not a curated record. NCBI's taxonomy places the organism in Eukaryota, Metazoa, Chordata, Aves, Sphenisciformes, Spheniscidae. The transcript has 3 exons.